This 423-nucleotide ribosomal RNA is filed under the name uncultured archaeon. RNAcentral's name for it is "partial 16S ribosomal RNA". It matches the Rfam family "Archaeal small subunit ribosomal RNA", at positions 323 to 746 of the family's 1478-position model. The record is from RNAcentral.
CUACGGGUCGCUGCAGGCGGGAAACCUUUACAAUGCGCGCAAGCGCGAUAAGGGAACUCAGAGUGCUCAAGUUUAUGCUUGGGCUUUUUCUAAGAGUAAAUAUCUUAGAGAAUAAGUGGUGGGCAAGACCGGUGCCAGCCGCCGCGGUUAUACCGGCGCCACAAGUGGGAAUCGCAUUUAUUGGGCCUAAAGCGUCCGUAGCAGGCUUGAAAAGUUUCUUGUGAAAUCGUGUCGCUCAACGUCACGGCAUGCAAGAAAAACUCUCAGGCUAGAAACCGGAAGAGGUAAGAGGUAUUUCUGGGCCAGCGGUGAAAUGUUUUGAUCCCAGAAGGACCGCCAACGGCGAAGGCAUCUUACUAGUACGGGUUUGACUGUGAGGGACGAAAGCCAGGGGAGCAAACCGGAUUAGAUACCCCGGUAGUC